AGGUGCCCGUACCGCAAACCGACACAGGUAGGUAGGAAGAAGAUUCUAAGGCCAACGGGAGAAGGGUUGUUAAGGAACUCGGCAAAUUGACCCCGUAACUUCGGGAGAAGGGGUGCUCCAGAGAUGGAGCCGCAGAGAAUCGGCCCAAGCAACUGUUUACCAAAAACACAGGUUUGUGCUAAAUCGAAAGAUGACGUAUACGAGCUGACGCCUGCCCGGUGCUGGAAGGUUAAGAGGAGAUGUGCAAGCAUUGAAUCGAAGCCCCAGUGAACGGCGGCCGUAACUAUAACGGUCCUAAGGUAGCGAAAUUCCUUGUCAGGUAAGUUCUGACCCGCAUGAAAGGCGUAAUGAUUUGGGCACUGUCUCAACAGCCCGCCCGGCGAAAUUGUAGUACCGGUGAAGAUGCCGGUUACCCGCGACAAGACGGAAAGACCCCAUGGAGCUUUACUGUAGCCUAAUAUUGGGUUUCGAUGUUGCAUGCACAGGAUAGAUGGGACACUGGGAAACAAUCGCUUUGGCGGUUGUGGAGUGGCCGUUGGGAUACCAUCCUUGCGAUAUUGGAAUUCUAACCUGCGGCUCUGAAUCGAGUCGGGGGACAUUGUUAGGUGGGCAGUUUGACUGGGGCGGUCGCCUCCUAAAAAGUAACGGAGGCGUUCAAAGGUUCGCUCAGCUUGAACGGAAAUCAAGCAAAAGAGUGCAAACGCAGAAGCGAGCCUAACUGCGAGACUGACGGGUCGAGCAGUAACGAAAGUUGGAGUUAGUGAUCCGGUGGUAUGUGAGUGGAAAUGCCAUCGCUCAACGGAUAAAAGCUACCCUGGGGAUAACAGGCUGAUCUCCCCCAAGCGUCCACAGCGACGGGGAGGUUUGGCACCUCGAUGUCGGCUCGUCGCAUCCUGGGGCUGUAUUCGGUCCCAAGGGUUUGGCUGUUCGCCAAUUAAAGCGGCACGCGAGCUGGGUUCAGAACGUCGUGAGACAGUUCGGUCCCUAUCUGUUGCGGGCGUAAGAGAUUUGAAGGGAGCUGUCCUUAGUACGAGAGGACCGGGAUGGACGUACCUCUGGUGCACCAGUUGUCCUGCCAAGGGCAUAGCUGGGUAGCUAUGUACGGACGAGAUAAACGCUGAAAGCAUCUAAGCGUGAAACUCCCCCUAAGAUGAGAUCUCUCAUCCUUUAUGGAGUAAGGGCCCAGAAAGACGAUCUGGUUGAUAGGCCGGAGGUGGAAGUGCAGUAAUGUAUGGAGCUGACCGGUACUAAUAGCCCGAGGGCUUGACCU
RNAcentral lists this ribosomal RNA (1270 nucleotides) under human gut metagenome. RNAcentral describes it as "bacterial LSU rRNA". It matches the Rfam family "Bacterial large subunit ribosomal RNA", at positions 1636 to 2925 of the family's 2925-position model. The record is from RNAcentral.